GACAGCUCGCUCAGCUGGCUGUGUGAUAAUCAACAGGCAGCUGUGAGAGAAGUUG
Molecule: microRNA precursor, 55 nt
Filed under: Ciona intestinalis (vase tunicate)
Lineage: Eukaryota; Metazoa; Chordata; Ascidiacea; Phlebobranchia; Cionidae
Description: microRNA cin-mir-4127 precursor
Source: miRBase by way of RNAcentral